CCCUUAGAUGUACUGGGCCGCACGCGUGCUACACUGAGUAAUUCAAUGGGUAAGGGAACGCUAGAGCAUUACCUAAUCUUGAAAUUUGCUCGUGAUGGGGAUCGACGGUUGCAAUUUUCCGUCGUGAACGAGGAAUACCUUGUAGGCGCAUGUCAUCAUCAUGCGCCGAAUACGUCCCUGCCCUUUGUACACACCGCCCGUCGCUCCUACCGAUUGAGUGAUCCGGUGAGGCUCUGGGACCUGGACGGAAAGAGCGUUUCGCUUGUUCUGUUUGGGAAACUUGGUCGAACCUUAUCAUUUAGAGGAAGGAGAAGUCGUAACA
Molecule: ribosomal RNA, 322 nt
Filed under: uncultured eukaryote
Lineage: Eukaryota
Description: partial 18S ribosomal RNA
Rfam family: Eukaryotic small subunit ribosomal RNA
Source: RNAcentral